This 499-nucleotide ribosomal RNA is filed under the name uncultured bacterium. RNAcentral describes it as "partial 16S ribosomal RNA". It matches the Rfam family "Bacterial small subunit ribosomal RNA", at positions 28 to 507 of the family's 1533-position model. The record is from RNAcentral.
GACGAACGCUGGCGGCGUGCUUAACACAUGCAAGUCGAACGGGCCUGUCUUCUUUUUUGGGGGUGGGUUGAGUGGCGAACGGGUGAGUAUCACGUGAGUAACCUGCCCUUCGGUCCUGGAUAACCGCUUGAAAGGGCGGCUAAUACGGGGUGGUCCGGUUGGUCCGCAUGGGCUGGUCGGGAUAGAUUCACUGUUUUUGGUGUUUCGGCGGGGGAUGGGCUCGCGGGCUAUCAGCUUGUUGGUGGGGUGAUGGCCUACCAAGGCGGUGACGGGUAGCCGGCCUGAGAGGGUGGGCGGCCACACUGGGACUGAGAUACGGCCCAGACUCCUGCGGGAGGCAGCAGUGGGGGGUAUUGCACAAUGGGCGGAAGCCUGAUGCAGCGACGUCGCGUGAGGGAUGGAGGCCUUCGGGUUGUGAACCUCUGUUUCCGGUGGUGAAGGCCCUGUCCGUGUGGUGGGGUUGACGGUAGCCGGGGAUGAAGCGCCGGCUAACUACGUG